CCUGUUGGAUCUGGGUGAGGAGACAGAGCCUUCCAUGUAGCCCCACAGCUAGGGGACACAAGAGUGUGAGAUGCCCCUACUUACCCAGGCAGUCACUUGUAGCACGGCCAGACAGCAAGCCCUCUGCUGUUCCUUGGAUUCAAUUUGGAUUCAAUUUUGUGGUCAGAAGGAGAGACUCUUGAAAUUGUGAUGCCAAUUCAGUAGAGAAGAUACCUUGCAUGUUAAGGACCUAGGCAUUUAGGAUCGCUUCACCCAUAUUUCUGCCUACUGCCUCCAGUAAGGGUCAUCAUGAUUCACUACGGAAGUUGUCCAUACCUCGACCUUGAAGAUUUUCUGGACCCCCAUAAAUCACAGAACUCCCUGAUUUUACUGAUUCCGGUGGAUGACAUGGAAGAGGGUGUGGAUGAAGUUCUAGAAAUAUAUGAAGAAACGGAAGGUGAUAAUGAAGAGGAGGAGCUGGUGAUCGUGGAAGUGGUGGAAGAAGAGAUGGAAGAAAGGGAGGAGGAAAGGGAGGAGGAAAGGGAAGAGGAAGCAGAAACCGAUUUUACUGAGAAUGUGGAGUAGAACUGAGAAAUAAAAGGGAGGGAGGGAAAGGAGGAGAAAAAAGAAGAAAGGGAAAAGGAUGAAAGGAAGGAAGACAU
Molecule: long non-coding RNA, 641 nt
Organism: Mesocricetus auratus (golden hamster)
Lineage: Eukaryota; Metazoa; Chordata; Mammalia; Rodentia; Cricetidae
Exons: 4
Source: RefSeq, a predicted model, not a curated record